Long non-coding RNA from Cercocebus atys (sooty mangabey), 4246 nucleotides. RefSeq lists it as uncharacterized. The record is from RefSeq and is a predicted model, not a curated record. NCBI's taxonomy places the organism in Eukaryota, Metazoa, Chordata, Mammalia, Primates, Cercopithecidae. The transcript has 3 exons.
UGAGAGGGUGGGGAGUGCCUGCGUAUGAGGAGGACAUUAGGGCAGGACACAUAUCUUACUUCCCUCCCAUUCUGGGCACAGAAACCAAAAUCAUCUGUUACUUCACCAGCUGGAGCCAGUACUGCCCUGGGAUUGUCCGCUACAUGCCCCAGAAUAUGGACUCUUGCCUGUGCAUACACAUCUUCUAUGCUUUCGCUGGCAUGGCCAACAACCAGAUCAAAACCAUCGAGUGGGAUGAUGAGGCCCUCUAUGCCGGCAUCAAUGGCCUUAAGAACUAGUGAGCUCUGAACCUGGGCUUUGUGCUGGGUUAAAGGCUUCUAUAUGAGGCUUUCACGAGUUCCCCAAGAUAUACCGACACCAGAAUGUUUAGCCUUUGAGUGCUGUCCACAGUCACUCUCAUGCCAUGCCUCAUUAGUAGAACUUUCAGCAUCCUUCUCCCCAGGAGAGGCAGGUUGCUGUCAUUUUUCUGGAUUAUUGUCUCCAGGAAAUUCAGAUACCCAGCAUUCUAUUCUGUGUGUCACAGGAGGUGCCAUUCACAAAGGAUUCUUUGUGAAUAGUGUCCCCUGAAGUUUGCCAUGUUGCUGUAUAGCCCCACAACAACCUAUCAACUAGCUACCAAUUUAACCCAAAAUUUAACCUAAAAUUGCACCAGCUAAAUGCUUAGCAUAUUUAUUGGGUAACUACUGUGUGCAAGGUGCUUUCCAUUUAUUAUUUUAUAUACCCGCACAAUAAACAUGAUGAAGUGGGCAUAUUAAAACCAUGUUAAGGUUGAGGAAACUGAGUCAUAGGGAGAUUAAAAGCUUUCCCUAGCCCACAGAACCCAGGAAGGCCAGAUCGCCUUAUCAGCUAGGUUGAUGCUUUUGUCUCAUCAGGAAUCCAAUGGGUAGGUUUUAUGGUCAAGCUCACAGGACCAUGGUAUAAAGGACUUAGAUGUGAAUCCUGGCUCUGCCACCUCAUGCAUUGGAUGAUCUUGGUCAAGUUGCCUAAUCUCUCUGAAUGCCACUUAAAGGUCAAAUGAUAUUAACAGUUUCUGCUUUGUGGGAUUAUAAGGGUUAAAAAAGCAAUGCAUGUAAAGUGCCUGGCAUUUAGCAGGCACUCAGUAACUGGUAGACACUUCCACUGCCUGUGUUCCUCGCUGUCUCCUAGAAUCAGACUUCCAGCUUUCUGGCCUUGUGUAUCCCAGAAGCUCCAGCCAGUCUACCUUCUGUGCUAAGGGGUUGAUUUCUGGCUCCCUCAUCCUGCCCAGGAUGCCCUGUCUUUUCUUCCCGGAAGCUCCCUUCUGCACCAGGGUCCAUCAGCCCACUGGCAGAGAUGGGAGCAAGAACCUACUCAAUGAGUUAUUUAUAGCGUGCCCUGGAGGACUCAUGGCACAAGGGCCCCUUGAUCCUACAGAGAGCUUGGCUCCCAACACAAGGCCUUGUGUGGGAUGUGAGGAUAGAGGGACCGACUGGCAAAUGACAGCUCCUUGCAAGUGGAAUUUCUUUACACUAGUAUCUUUUUAUCUCCAGCAACACAGAACUGAAAACCUUGCUCUCUGUUGGUGGCUAGAACUUUGGAUCCCAGGGGUAAGACCUUGUAUUCAGGACUGAAUCAUUUCCAGAUUAAUCAGUCUCUUCCAAACUCCAAGGACUGUAAGUUUCUGUAAUGUGAGUGUACCCUGGGCCUCAGACCCCAGUGUAGACCUCUCAGAACUCUUCUCUGACCAGUUCUCCCUGAAGUCUGCUCUUCCUUCAUCAUAGCUCUUACCAUACUAUUUUUUUAAUUGGACAUUUCGUGAAUUUAUGUUAUAUUAUUUUUAACUUUGUUUUUUAAUUGACAUAUAAUAACUGUACAUAUUUAUGGGAUACAUAGUGAUAUUUCAACACAUAUAAUGUAGAGUGAUCAGAUAAGGGUAAUUAGCAUAUCUAUUGUUAAAUGUUGACAACAUUUAAUAUCCUCUUUUUAGCCAUUUGAAACUUUACAUUAUUGUUAACUAUAGUCAUCCUAUACCACACUGUAUUUUAAGUUCCAUUUACUUAUCUAUACCUUCCUGUAUAUGAGCUCCUCCAGGGCAGAAACUAUUUUAUUCACUACUCUAUCCCAGCAAUGUUAAUAAAUGACAGAAUAACUGAAUGAUAGUAAAUGACAAUAAAUGACAGAAUAACUGAAUGACAGUAAAUGACAAUAGAUGACAGAAUAACUGCAUGUAUGUCCAGGCAAAUAGUAAGGAGGAUAGGUGGCAAGACGGAGUAUCCAGGGGCUUAGGCUACUGUGAUUUAUGCUGCAAUGACUUAUUGACUCCAGAUUCUCUGACGUGGUAUGGUGGCCACUGCUGAGAACCGCCAGGCCUUCAUGCAGUCAGCCAUACAGUUUCUGAGGAAGUACAACUUCAAUGGGCUGGACAUUCAUGGGAAUAUCCAGGCAAUCGUGGCAGCCCAACUGACACCCAGCAGCUCUUCACCAUCCUGUUGAAGGUGUCUCACCCUCACUGUGUCCAAAGAACACACAAUCUGGCCCACAGCAGGCUGGGACACGGCCUCUCUCUGGAGAGGGGUUCUGAGAGAGGCUGAAUAUAUCCUGGCCAGAGGUGUGGAUCUCACCCUUUCUGGCUCACAGCCUCAUCUCUUUAGUGUAAGAGCAGAUCUCUCUUUUGGGGAAAACUGCCACUGGCAGUGAGAAGUAUAUCUUUGAGCACCAGUGUUGGCUUUAGUGCUCUUAUUUCCCCUUCCUCCGUUUUUCUGGUAAUUAGAUGCAAUCACAUACAGCUUGCAGGGCUGGAGGCCAUUUUUGUCUCUUUAAUACAAUCUCUCUCCUUUUUUUUUUUUAAAUUGUACUCUGGACAUUAUUUGUUUAUUUUAAAAUUUAACUGUCAGAGGAUGACCAAAUUUCCCUCAUUUCCAAGUUUUCGAAAGACAGCUUACUGUUGUUCCCAGAGACCAACGACAGCUUUUGGAUCAAAGGACUCUAAAUCAAGCACUUUGUAGCUUUCUUCAUAAGAGCUGUGACCUCGUCACAUGCCCACUGGUCCCUCUAGCCUGUGUUCGGUGUCUUCUGUUUCACAGGAAAUGCAUGAGUCUUUUGAGCAAGAGUCCACCCACAGCAAAAAGCCCAGACUGCUGAUUUCUGCUGCUGUGUCAGCUGGCAAAGGUACCAUUGGGACUGCCUAUCAGAUCCCCAAGAUGUCAAGGUAAGCAAACCCAGGAGCCCAUACUCAGAGCUAAGUGACCCUUAGACCUUCCCCAGGCAUUGCCAAAUGCACAGAUACCAGUGACCAAUGCUCAGGUACCCAGGAUAGAGAGGACUCUAUCUCAGAGGAAUGAAAUGACCCCAAUUCCUGAGGAAGAGGCAGAGGGAGCCAGUAUGAAUGCUGGCCUUGUUUCUAAGUCUAUCUCCAAGGUUCUCGAGGGUAAAUGGCCAUUGGGAGAAGGUUAAUUGAGUCUCAAGCUUUUACAAGUCCUGAAGGUCUGAGUGUAGCCAGAUAGUGAUCAUGGUGUGGGUGCCUUUUAUAUUCCAGGUGCUCUUGAGAUGAAGAUAAGGGAGAAUGGAAUAAAGAAUAAUAAUGCAUAAGGGAAUCCUUAUUGCAUAGUAGCAAACAGCAGAUUUGGCUGUUUGGCAAAUCUGCAAUCAGCCGAUUUGGGACUAGGAGCAUUAGGGGUAGUGGGUUAGAAAGAGUGAUUUCCCUUGGGUCAUUUAUUUCCUCCUGUUCCCUCUCCCUACUACCUAAGGUACGUGGACUUCAUCAGUGUGAUGACCUGUGACCUAAGGGGCUCCUGGGAGGGCUUCAUAGGAGAGGACACUCCCGUUUGCAGGAUCUAAUGACUAGGGAGACUACAAAUACUUUAAUAUGUUCUGCUGCUUCCUGAAAGGAGCCACCGAGGUGUGGAAUGACCCCCAGGAGGUGCCUUAUACCUACAAGGGGAACCAGUGGCUGGGGUAUGACAACUCCAAGAGCUUCACCCUCAAGGUUGCAGAGUACCCACCUCUACCCUGGGAACCAGCUUGACUCCCAUCGUCACUGUAGCACCUGGGAUUGGCAGCACUGGUGGCAGUGGAUUCUGUACUGGGAAGUCCAGCGGUCUGUAUCCUAGCCCCACCAGCAAGCGUGCCUUCUACAAUGUGUGGAUGAGCACACCUAUGAGGAGGCUUGUCAGGAAGGCCUGGUCUUUGAUACCAGCUGCUCUUGCUGUAACUGGGCAUAAGCUAUUCACCUGUUGCGUCCCUUGGAGAUUGUAAGACAAAAGGAUGAUUAAAGGGAAAUUUUGCAUGU